This 338-nucleotide ribosomal RNA is filed under the name uncultured bacterium. RNAcentral's name for it is "bacterial SSU rRNA". It matches the Rfam family "Bacterial small subunit ribosomal RNA", at positions 28 to 365 of the family's 1533-position model. The record is from RNAcentral.
GACGAACGCUGGCGGCGUGCUUUAACACAUGCAAGUCGAGCGGUAAGGCCCUUUCGGGGGUACACGAGCGGCGAACGGGUGAGUAACACGUGGGUGACCUGCCCUCAGCUCUGGGAGUAAGCCUGGGAAACCGGGUCUAAUACCGGAUAUGACUCCAUGACGCAUGUUGUGGGGUGGAAAGCCUUGUGCGGCUGAGGAUGGGCCCGCGGCCUAUCAGCUUGUUGGUGGGGUGAUGGCCUACCAAGGCGACGACGGGUAGCCGGCCUGAGAGGGCGACCGGCCACACUGGGACUGAGACACGGCCCAGACUCCUACGGGAGGCAGCAGUGGGGAAUCUU